RNAcentral lists this ribosomal RNA (253 nucleotides) under uncultured bacterium. RNAcentral's name for it is "partial 16S ribosomal RNA". It matches the Rfam family "Bacterial small subunit ribosomal RNA", at positions 524 to 776 of the family's 1533-position model. The record is from RNAcentral.
UACGGGGGGAGCAAGCGUUGUUCGGAUUUACUGGGCGUAAAGGGCGCGUAGGCGGCGCAACAAGUCACUUGUGAAAUCUCCGGGCUUAACCCGGAGCGGCCAAGUGAUACUGUCGUGCUAGAGUGCGGAAGGGGCUACUGGAAUUCUCGGUGUAGCGGUGAAAUGCGUAGAUAUCGGGAGGAACACCGGUGGCGAAGGCGGCGACCUGGGUAGAUACUGACGCUGAGGCGCGAAAGCGUGGGGAGCAAACAGG